This 263-nucleotide unclassified non-coding RNA is filed under the name plant metagenome. Its description in RNAcentral is "partial contains small subunit ribosomal RNA, internal transcribed spacer 1, and 5.8S ribosomal RNA". The record is from RNAcentral.
UUUCCGUAGGUGAACCUGCGGAAGGAUCAUUAUUGUAUAACCGAGGUGCGAGGGCUGUCGCUGACCCGAAAGAUCGUGCACGCCCGAGUGCCCUCACACACAUUCAUCUCACCCCUAUGUGCACCACCGCGUGGGUCCCCCUUUGGCUUGUUCGGAGGGGGGCUUACGUUUUCACACAAACUUUGUAUGCAGUGUAGAAUGUAUUUUUUGUUUUUGCGAUCACGCAAUCAAUACAACUUUCAACAACGGAUCUCUUGGCUCUC